AAGUAUGAACAAGUUACUGCGCCGUCAAUAUGACAUUAUAUCACAAUUCACAAUACAUGUGCAUUACGACAUAAAGUAAAUAGCCCUUAUCAACGAUGACGAGAGUCAACAAAGUAUAUAAUGUAGGUCGCAAUGGUCCUCUUCGAUUCUAACAACGCGGAAUACUUGUGAUACUACGAUAAUAAAUCUUCCGACAUUUCGAUAAAUGAACAUUGCGGGAUUUACAAAAGACUUAUAAAAUAAGAUAGUCCAAAAACGUAUACGUACCUACUAAAUAGUGUAUUAUUUUUUAAAUUGUUAUCAAAUAUUUGACUGUUGAUGUCGAUGUAUGCUGCACGAUAAAUUAUUACAAAGCUGUCAGAAUUGUUUUGAGUUACGAUCGUACCCAGUCACCACUAACCACUAUAUGGACACCCGAGGUGAGCGUUUGUGUGCAGCCUAAAAGCCGAAGAUCCGGGCAUAUUGCAGAGUAUACAGUAUUUUCAAUUCACACAAGAAUCGGCGAACAGAUUUUAUACUCACAUUAAAGUAAAUAUAGGUACAGAUAAAUCACCGUCGUUGUGACUGCGACGGUACUUGGACGGUUGCCGUGCGCCGCCGGAUAGGUGUCGCAGUCAAUUAUAUUAUAAUCAACAUUUAAUUGAACAUUAUUAAUAGUGGAUUCCGAUAAAAAUCAUCGAAGGCGGCACUCUGCUAAAUUGUCGUCGGUGCAGGGUGGAAGGGAGGAUUAGUAAGUAGGACUGCGCGUCCAACCGGUGCACCUGGGCGGCCGCCAGAUUAUAUCGUUCCGUGUAAACGCGUACAUAUUUGUUCGUAAUUAAUUCGAUUCGUCUUCAUAUACCAUCUCGUUAUUAUAUCGUCUUAAAUUAUGAUGAAGGACGACCUCAUUAUUUUCGCUAGUGCAUUUUUGGGUUCUUUUUAAAUAUACAGCAGUUCAAUCGCGGAUUGAAAAAAAAUAUCUCGUGUUUUAAUACUUUUUAAUUCUCAGUUAAUAAUAUUUAGACGUCUGAAACAAAGAAUUUAUCUGAAAUUAUCGUUAUAUAUCGAUAAAGUGUUCGAUAUGCUAAUAAUUAAAAGUUUUGUCAAGGGAAAUAUGUAUGUCAAGAAGCAGAGCUGCGAUAUCAUUGCUAUAAUAAAUUCACAAAACAACUUAAGCUGUUGGUUGGAUUUUUCAUGUUUUUACAAUCAAAUAUAAAUAUUGAAAUCAUCAGAAAAAUAGGUAGAAAAUGAAAUAAAAAUAUGUAUGUAGAUGUCAGAUGAUCACUGAUUAAAAGGGCAGAGGUAAUGUUCAGUAAAGUACUCGGAAUUACAUUUGAAAACAAAAUAAUUAAAUCCGUUUCAACAAAAUCACAAAAAUUGAAAAUUGUAAAGGAUAAAAACCAACGACACUGCAUCAAAAUUGUACCUUAAAAAUUAUAUAGGUAUAGUUAUAAUAAUAUGUGGGUUCUGUGACAGCACCAGCUGUUGUUGCUGCCGUACGGCAUUAUUUGGUUCACUCUGUGUUGUCUAGCUGUAGAAAAUGGUCGGAAUGGCGACGAUCGGAACGCGGUGCCAAAACGGUGCGCAGUUCGGGCGGUAACGGCACCUCCUCGCGGGAGAAAACGAUAACACGAUCGGAAUAAACAUUAAACUUCCCUGGCUGCUGCAGCACCAGCGGCACUAUUUGGUCGACAACUUUCACAAAACACGAUGCCGGUCAAUCGAUCAAUACAUGGUAAACACGGUACCCCGCAAUUGCCAGAGCAAUCUUAAAUUUUCAAAUAACUUUUUCAAAACAUAACGUUGAAAUUGGUUGAACUAAACUCCAAUACUCAAAUAGACUGACUUUCAUCAAGUUGGAUCCACAAAACAUAGAUGUCCAACAUAUGGUUUUGGUUUUUCUAGUUUGCUCGGAAACAAUCGAGAAAACAAUAAUCGUAGCGUCACAUGAAAAUACGAUAUUUAUGAUUGCCGAUUGAUUGGUUCUUUUUCUCGUUUGUGAAAAAUGAAAGCGUAGGUACAUACAAUCGACCAAUCAGAAAAUAGAUGCAGUGAUCUAGCCUACUAAACAGAAAGAUAAUAAAAAUAAUGAAGGAGUCAAAUCGUCGAUUAUGAUAUAUUUUUCAAUAAUUUGUUUCUAAUUAUAUAGGCAUAAACAAUAAAUUAUUAAAUAUUAAAUGUGCUUACUGAAGAGCAAAAAUACAUACUUAUUUUAUUGAUUUGAGAAUUGCUUUUUAUAGCCUUUUGACUAUGGUUUAUUCAAAUUUUGAUUUUCUAGACCCUGUAACUACGAUAUUAAAUCCUAGUUACGUCCACUCUACUUAUUAUAGAAUGACGGUAGUUCAUUGUUUCAGUAAAAUAUAAUAUUUAAAAAACUGGA
Myzus persicae (green peach aphid) is the source of this 2359-nucleotide long non-coding RNA. RefSeq lists it as uncharacterized. The record is from RefSeq and is a predicted model, not a curated record. Lineage: Eukaryota; Metazoa; Arthropoda; Insecta; Hemiptera; Aphididae. The transcript is spliced from 8 exons.